UGCUAUGAUGAGGUUUGUCAGUAAUCUAUGUGCUACAACUUAAUUGUUAAAAAUAAAAUGAAUUUUAAAUACCAUGAACAAAUCUUCAUCAAAUGUUUUUCUGACAAGGUUAAUAUUGUUAGACAUUAAUUUGGGUGUGACGGCAUAAUUGCACAAUAGAGUGUUUUUGUGUGUUAUUAAACCAGAUGGAGUUUAUACUCUGUGUGAAGGAUGUGUACCCCCUGGAGAUUCUCCAGUUUAUAGUAUUGUGUACUAUCAAUACAAUGGUUUAUAUCUGAGUUGGCAGUUUUUACUUUGCACACUUACUACCUACACAUUUUCGCACAUUUGAUUUCCAGACUUGUAGCCACUUACUGGUGUGCUUUUUGUGUUUCUGGCCUGUGCAGUAUUUUUAUUCCCCCUUGACACCUGUAUGUUUACAAGCCAUAGCUCCAAGCUGUAUGUUCAACUGUAUCUUUGCUGGCUGUUGUGAUUGGCUAAGAUCCUGUUAUUGUUUGAUGGUAUUUUGGUUGCCUGGAUUUUGACCUCUGAUUUCUGACCCCUACCCCGACCACCUCCUUAUAUCCUGUCACCCAUUGGUUAUUAAUACAUCUAUUAAUUUGCAUGACAUUAAUGCAGAUUCCAUUAUCACCAACAUUGUUGAUGAAAUAUUGAAUAUUUGAUUUUUUUAAUUUGAUUAGCUAAAAACUGUUGAUCAUUCAUUGAUGAUGACAGAUGUUGUUUGAGUUUAUCAGUAUUAUAAACUGUAGCUUCUGUAUAAUAUCGGGUGUUAUUAGACAUGGAUGGUGGCGGGACUUAUGUUUAAAUGUGAUGGCUUUCUCUACUUCGUACUUUAAUUCAUGAUUAUAGAACAAAUAUCUCCAAACAUCAUAUGAGUACAGUACUUACAUACUCAUGCUGCAGAAUUUUGAUUUUUGAUAGACUAAAAUGUUUGCCAGUUUAAACAUUGGUACUAGAAUACAUGAUGUAGCUGUAAUGUUAACAUGGGUUAUCUUUGGCAAUGAUGCUGUUGUUGGUUUGUGUUUGAUCUACACAGUAGAAAAUUUUACUUCAUUUUUUUAAAGGAGGGUUGUCAGGGGGAAUGUGGAUGGACCCAUCGGGUCAGGUCUACUUACGAGUGAGAUAAGAAGGGAGGUAACUCUGUAUUUUGUUUAUAGAUCAGUGUAGAUCUCUGCUGUUUUAUAGGAGGUAGUGUGGAAGUUCACUAGCCUUAUAGGACACCCUGUAUACCAGGACAGGAUGCUUUAGUUUAUAGGUCACACAGUCAGGAUUGACUGGGAAUAGGGCUUCCACUACAGUAAAAGGGGAUAGUUUAUAGGUCAGACAGUCAGGAUUGACUGGGAAUAGGGCUUCCACUACAGUAAAAGGGGAUAGUUUAUAGGUCACACAGUCAGGAUUGUCUGGGAAUAGGGCUUCCACUACAGUAAAAGGGGAUAGUUUAUAUGUCAGAUAGUCAGGAUUGACUGGGAAUAGGGCUUCCACUACAGUAAAAGGGGAUAGUUUAUAGGUCAGAUAGUCAGGAUUGACUGGGAAUAGGACUUCCACUACAGUAAAAGGGGAUAGUUUAUAGGUCAGAGUCAGGAUUGGCUGGGAAUAGGGCUUCCACUACAGUAAAAGGGGAUAGUUUAUAGGUCACACAGUCAGGAUUGACUGGGAAUAGGACUUCCACUACAGUAAAAGGGGAUAGUUUAUAGGUCACACAGUCAGGAUUGACUGGGAAUAGGGCUUCCACUACAGUAAAAGGGGAUAGUUUAUAGGUCAGAGUCAGGAUUGGCUGGGAAUAGGGCUUCCACUACAGUAAAAGGGGAUAGUUUAUAGGUCAGAUAGUCAGGAUUGGCUGGGAAUAGGGCUUCCACUACAGUAAAAGGGGAUAGUUUAUAGGUCACACAGUCAGGAUUGACUGGGAAUAGGGCUUCCACUACAGUAAAAGGGGAUAGUUUAUAGGUCACACAGUCAGGAUUGACUGGGAAUAGGGCUUCCACUACAGUAAAAGGGGAUAGUUUAUAGGUCACACAGUCAGGAUUGACUGGGAAUAGGGCUUCCACUACAGUAAAAGGGGAUAGUUUAUAGGUCACACAGUCAGGAUUGACUGGGAAUAGGGCUUCCACUACAGUAAAAGGGGAUAGUUUAUAGGUCACAUAGUCAGGAUUGGCUGGGAAUAGGGCUUCCACUACAGUAAAAAGGGAUAGUUUAUAGGUCACACAGUCAGGAUUGACUGGGAAUAGGGCUUCCACUACAGUAAAAGGGGAUAGUUUAUAGGUCACAUAGUCAGGAUUGACUGGGAAUAGGGCUUCCACUACAGUAAAAGGGGAUAGUUUAUAGGUCAGAUAGUCAGGAUUGACUGGGAAUAGGGCUUCCACUACAGUAAAAGGGGAUAGUUUAUAGGUCACACAGUCAGGAUUGACUGGGAAUAGGGCUUCCACUACAGUAAAAGGGGAUAGUUUAUAGGUCACACAGUCAGGAUUGACUGGGAAUAGGGCUUCCACUACAGUAAAAGGGGAUAGUUUAUAGGUCACACAGUCAGGAUUGACUGGGAAUAGGGCUUCCACUACAGUAAAAGGGGAUAGUUUAUAGGUCACAUAGUCAGGAUUGACUGGGAAUAGGGCUUCCACUACAGUAAAAGGGGAUAGUUUAUAGGUCACACAGUCAGGAUUGUCUGGGAAUAGGGCUUCCACUACAGUAAAAGGGGAUAGUUUAUAGGUCACACAGUCAGGAUUGGCUGGGAAUAGGGCUUCCACUACAGUAAAAGGGGAUAGUUUAUAGGUCACAUAGUCAGGAUUGGCUGGGAAUAGGGCUUCCACUACAGUAAAAGGGGAGAUAAUUUGUGUCCAGGACAUUGACAAGUGAUCAUAUCCUUGGAGGAAUUUUCAUUUUAGUGAGCUAAUUCUUUAUCAAAUUGCUCAAGGUUAAAAUUGAAGUGAUAUUUUAAGGAAAUAAAACAUUUUGGUAUGAAAAUUUAUGGAGAUUUAUGAAUCCUGAGAAUAACAGUUUUUGUACUUGGAAAGUGAAUGCUUGUUCCAGUAAUAUUAAUAUGUUUGCUGUUGUUUCAAUAUCAUAAUCAGAAGCAAUAUAUCCUGCAUUUUAAAUUAUAAACAUAAUGUAUAUUGGAACAUUUCUCAAAAAAAAACAAAAAAAAAACAGAUUAAAAGAUUAUUUUUUCAGUAGAGAGAAGUAUAAGAUGGUUUGUGUAACAGUGAUGAGAUGGUUUGUGUUACAGGGAUGUUUUGUAAUUUGGUAGAGAGCUAAUCCACUAGUGAACUUGUUAUUACUACAUGAGGGAGUAAAUAAUACAAUAAAGAAAGUUUUUCCUCUGGAUAGACAUAGUGUUCAUGGUUGUAUCUGUUACAUUCAAGUGUUUAUGAUAUUUCCAAAGAAACCACCCAAAAUCAUUCUUUUAAACUGUUCAAACAAUUUUACUUUCUUAACUUUAUUUUUAAGUUUACAAACAAAUAAUGUAA
Molecule: long non-coding RNA, 3458 nt
Organism: Pecten maximus
Lineage: Eukaryota; Metazoa; Mollusca; Bivalvia; Pectinida; Pectinidae
Exons: 2
Source: RefSeq, a predicted model, not a curated record